CCUGCAUGAAGUCGGAAUUGCUAGUAAUCGCGGAUCAGCAUGCCGCGGUGAAUACGUUCCCGGGCCUUGUACACACCGCCCGUCACACCAUGAGAGCCGGGAACACCCGAAGUCCAUAGUCUAACCAUUAAGGAGGACGCGGCCGAAGAUGGGUUUGGUAAUUGGGGUGAAGUCGUAACAAGGUAUC
RNAcentral lists this ribosomal RNA (187 nucleotides) under uncultured bacterium. RNAcentral describes it as "partial 16S ribosomal RNA". It matches the Rfam family "Bacterial small subunit ribosomal RNA", at positions 1315 to 1500 of the family's 1533-position model. The record is from RNAcentral.